Molecule: long non-coding RNA, 708 nt
Filed under: Heterocephalus glaber (naked mole-rat)
Lineage: Eukaryota; Metazoa; Chordata; Mammalia; Rodentia; Bathyergidae
Description: lncRNA (ENSHGLG00100048385.1)
Source: RNAcentral
CUCGAUUUCAUUACCUCCUCUGCCGUCCCCUUUACCUCUCAUCCUUCAUUCAUCUCUUUAGUGCUGGGAAUUAAACCCAGGGCAUCUGCACUGAGCUACAUCCCCAGACCCUUUUGUUUUUAAAAUGAGAUUUUGCUAAAUCACCCCUGGGCUCGAACUUGCACUCCUCCUCUGCCUCCAAGAGCGCUGGGAUUACAACAUUGUGCCACCACGCCUGACACCUAUGUUUUAACCUUAAACCCAAUGUGCUCCCUCUGUGCAAAGUUGGUUGGAAUCUAUUCAGAAGGUGAAUUAUUUUUUAAAACAACGUGUUUGGCCAGUUACAGUGGCUCACCUGCAAUCCCAGCUGCCUAGUAGGCUGAAAUAGGAUCAUGAGUCCAAGGCAGUCCAGAAAGAUGGUGAGAUUCCAUCUCAAAAAUAAAAAUGUUUGGUGCUAAGUAAACUGCACCAAGGCUCUCACAUCUCUUGGAUCAAAGAAGUUGAGAGCGCAGGAUGCUGAGGAAGGACUCUCAGGUUGAGGGUGUUCACCGGAAAAUGAAGGUAUUCAGAAUGACAACGAUUGAUGAUUAAGCCAGAAAAUUCCCUGUCCAUUGGUCUAUGUAGCCCAGGCUGGCCUUGAAUUCAUGCAAUCCUCUUGCCUCAGCUCCCGAGUGCUGGGAUCACAGGCGUGUACCAUCAUGUCUGGCUCAAGGCAUCUAAUUUGUAAAG